Molecule: long non-coding RNA, 620 nt
Organism: Lolium perenne
Lineage: Eukaryota; Viridiplantae; Streptophyta; Magnoliopsida; Poales; Poaceae
Source: RefSeq, a predicted model, not a curated record
ACCAACGCAGCUGCCAAAGCUUGCCCCCAUCGUGAUCGAUGUCUAUAAAUAUGAGCCUUCAGUAAUCAGUAGGCACUAAGAAGCACUACAGCAGGACAUACACUCCUCAAACUAAUCAGCCAGCCAAAGAAAACUUUGACAUGGGGUCCUUCGCUAGAGCUGCGCGUUUCCUGCUGCUCAUCGUCCUGUUCAUCUUCUCCGCUGCGAUCAUGAGCGACUCCGUCCGCGUCGGAGCAAGCGGCAUCAAUGUUGGUCAUCCUGUGUGUGUCAGGCAACCGUGUCCAUCUCGUCCACCUGGUGAACCCUACACCCGACCGUGCACCCGAGCUGACGGGUGCAUCGGCCAACCCUGAUACCUGCACACUCCUUCUGCCCGAUAAUGGAAGGCAGCCCAUAGGCAGGCCUCCUAGCAGUACAAGUUACUGCGUUAUACUGAACCGAUAGUGGUAUUGUCUCAAGUGCGUGUACUUAUACAUAUUAUUACUCCGAAUAAAACUGGAUGUCUGGCCUGAUAUGAUAGGUUCUACAAACAAGAAAGUCCGCUUCAAAAAAUAGUCCCGUUGUUCCACAAUAUAAUAAGUUUUGGCAAACUAAAAUAACAUGAAAAUAUAUUUUAUAUC